RNAcentral lists this ribosomal RNA (830 nucleotides) under Rotylenchus zhongshanensis. RNAcentral describes it as "Rotylenchus sp. z FG-2022 SSU rRNA". The record is from RNAcentral. Lineage: Eukaryota; Metazoa; Nematoda; Chromadorea; Rhabditida; Hoplolaimidae.
UGACUGCGGACGGCUCAUUACACCAGCUGUAAUUUACUUGACCUUGACAAACCUACUUGGAUAACUGUGGUAAUUCUAGAGCUAAUACAUGCACUAAAGCUCCRAUCUGCAAAGAGCGGAGCGCAUUUGUUCGCCACAAAACCAAGCGCCUCCGGGCGUUCUGUGUUGACUCAGAACAACUCAGCUGAUCGUACGGUCUUGAACCGACGACGUGUCUUUCAAGUGUCUGCCUUAUCAACUUUCGAUGGUAGCGUAUGGGACUACCAUGGUUGUGACGGGUAACGGAGGAUAAGGGUUCGACUCCGGAGAAGGGGCCUGAGAAAUGGCCACUACGUCUAAGGAUGGCAGCAGGCGCGCAAAUUACCCACUCUCGACUUGAGGAGGUAGUGACGAGAAAUAACGAGACUGAUCUCACAUGAGGCCAGUCAUCGGAAUGGGUACAAUUUAAACCCUUUAACGAGUAUCUACGCGAGGGCAAGCCUGGUGCCAGCAGCCGCGGUAAUUCCAGCUCGCGAAAUGCAUAGAAUUAUUGCUGCGGUUAAAAAGCUCGUAGUUGGAUCUGUGCCGGCUGCCCGGUCCGCUCACUGAGCGGUACUGGUGCCAGCCGGCUUUUGUGCCGGUCUUCCCCGGCGUCGGGCCUUCACCGGCUGGCGUCGGUGGCUGGCGAGUUUACUUUGAACAAAUCAGAGUGCUUCAAACAGGCGUUUCGCUUGAAUGUUCGUGCAUGGAAUAAUAGAAGAGGAUCACGGUCCGAUUUUAUUGGUUUUGCUGACCGAGAUAAUGGUUAACAGAGACAAACGGGGCCAUUCGUAUUGCCGCGUGAGAGGGAA